RNAcentral lists this ribosomal RNA (253 nucleotides) under uncultured bacterium. Its description in RNAcentral is "partial 16S ribosomal RNA". It matches the Rfam family "Bacterial small subunit ribosomal RNA", at positions 524 to 776 of the family's 1533-position model. The record is from RNAcentral.
UACGGAGGGUGCAAGCGUUAAUCGGAAUUACUGGGCGUAAAGCGUGCGCAGGCGGUUUGUUAAGUCUGCUGUGAAAUCCCCGAGCUCAACUUGGGAAUUGCAGUGGAUACUGGCAAGCUGGAGUACGGUAGAGGAAGGUGGAAUUCCCGGUGUAGCAGUGAAAUGCGUAGAGAUCGGGAGGAACACCAGUGGCGAAGGCGGCCUUCUGGACCAGUACUGACGAUCAUGCACGAAAGCGUGGGGAGCAAACAGG